GGCGGCGUGCCUCAGACAUGCAAGUCGAACGCGAAAGUCCCCUUCGGGGGAUAAGUAGAGUGGCGCACGGGUGAGUAACACGUAGGUAAUCUACCUUCGGGUGGGGAAUAACCCAGGGAAACUUGGGCUAACACCGCAUAAUGCAGCGGCACCACAUGGUGACAGUUGUUAAAGCGGGGGAUCUUAGGACCUCGCGCCUGAAGAGGAGCCUGCGGCGGAUUAGCUAGUUGGUGAGGUAACGGCUCACCAAGGUGACGAUCCGUAGCCGGCCUGAGAGGGCGGUCGGCCACACUGACACUGACAUACGGGUCAGACUCCUACGGGAGGCAGCAGUCGGGAAUUUUGGGCAAUGGGCGAAAGCCUGACCCAGCAACGCCGCGUGAAGGAUGAAAUCCCUCGGGAUGUAAACUUCGCAAGAAUGGGAAGAAUUAGUAGGGGUCAAUACCCCCUAUGAUGACGGUACCAUUUGUAAGCUCCGGCUAACUCCGUGCCAGCAGCCGCGGUAAUACGGGGGGAGCAAGCGUUGUUCGGAUUUACUGGGCGUAAAGGGCGCGUA
Molecule: ribosomal RNA, 556 nt
Filed under: uncultured Acidobacteriota bacterium
Lineage: Bacteria; Pseudomonadati; Acidobacteriota
Description: bacterial SSU rRNA
Rfam family: Bacterial small subunit ribosomal RNA
Source: RNAcentral